UCCCCAAUGGAUUUGUCUAUAGUC
RNAcentral lists this non-coding RNA (24 nucleotides) under Arabidopsis thaliana (thale cress). The record is from RNAcentral. Lineage: Eukaryota; Viridiplantae; Streptophyta; Magnoliopsida; Brassicales; Brassicaceae.